CAAAGGAGCAAUCCGCUGAAAGAUGGGCUCGCGUCCGAUUAGGUAGUUGGUGAGGUAACGGCCCACCAAGCCGACGAUCGGUAGCCGGACUGAGAGGUUGGACGGCCACAUUGGGACUGAGACACGGCCCAGACUCCUACGGGAGGCAGCAGUAAGGGAUAUUGGUCAAUGGGGGAAACCCUGAACCAGCAACGCCGCGUGAGGGAAGACGGUUUUCGGAUUGUAAACCUCUGUCCUCUGUGAAGAUGAUGACGGUAGCAGAGGAGGAAGCUCCGGCUAACUACGUGCCAGCAGCCGCGGUAAUACGUAGGGAGCGAGCGUUGUCCGGAUUUACUGGGUGUAAAGGGUGCGUAGGCGGCUGUGCAAGUCAGUAGUGAAAUCCAUGGGCUUAACCCAUGAACUGCUAUUGAAACUGCACAGCUUGAGUGAAGUAGAGGUAGGCGGAAUUCCCGGUGUAGCGGUGAAAUGCGUAGAGAUCGGGAGGAACACCAGUGGCGAAGGCGGCCUACUGGGCUUUAACUGACGCUGAGGCACGAAAGCGUGGGUAGCAAACAGGAUUAGGUACCCUGGUAGUCCACGCUGUAAACGAUGAUUACUAGGUGUGGGGGGACUGAACCCUUCC
RNAcentral lists this ribosomal RNA (622 nucleotides) under uncultured bacterium. RNAcentral's name for it is "bacterial SSU rRNA". It matches the Rfam family "Bacterial small subunit ribosomal RNA", at positions 202 to 842 of the family's 1533-position model. The record is from RNAcentral.